RNAcentral lists this ribosomal RNA (424 nucleotides) under uncultured bacterium. RNAcentral's name for it is "partial 16S ribosomal RNA". It matches the Rfam family "Bacterial small subunit ribosomal RNA", at positions 360 to 776 of the family's 1533-position model. The record is from RNAcentral.
AAUAUUGGACAAUGGGCGAAAGCCUGAUCCAGCCAUGCCGCGCGUGUGAAGCAGGGCUUCGUAUUGUAAAGCACUUUAAGUUGGGAGGCAGGGUUGUAGGUUAAUACCCUGCAAUAUUGACGUUACCAACAGAAUAAGCACCGGCUAACUUCGUGCCAGCUGCCGCGGUAAUACGAAGGGUGCAAGCGUUAAUCGGAAUUACUGGGCGUAAAGCGCGUGUAGGUGGGUCGUUAAGUUGGAAGUGAAAGCCCCGGGCUUAACCUGGGAAGUGCUUUCAAAACUGACGAGCUAGAGUAAGGUAGAGGGUAGUGGAAUUUCCUGUGUAGAGGUGAAAUGCGUAGAUAUAGGAAGGAACAUCAGUGGCGAAGGCGACUACCUGGACUGAUACUGACACUGAGGUGCGAAAGCGUGGGGAGCAAACAGG